This 229-nucleotide ribosomal RNA is filed under the name uncultured bacterium. Its description in RNAcentral is "partial 16S ribosomal RNA". It matches the Rfam family "Bacterial small subunit ribosomal RNA", at positions 107 to 339 of the family's 1533-position model. The record is from RNAcentral.
UGAGUAACGCGUAGGAAUCUACCCAGUAGCGGGGGAUAGCCCGGGGAAACUCGGAUUAAUACCGCAUACGCCCCAAGGGGGAAAGCAGGGGAUCUUCGGACCUUGCACUAUUGGAUGAGCCUGCGUUGGAUUAGCUUGUUGGUGGGGUAAUGGCCUACCAAGGCGACGAUCUUUAACUGGUCUGAGAGGAUGAUCAGUCACACUGGAACUGAGACACGGUCCAGACUCC